AUGCACUCUACAUGCAUGCAGAACUUGUUCGUGGCGGGCACGGACACAACAUUGAUCAUGGUGGAGUGGGCCAUGGCAGAGCUGAUCCGGCACCCGGACACCCUGAAGCAGGCGCAGGAAGAGCUGGACACCAUCGUGGGCCGUGAGAGGCUCAUCUCGGAGUCACACCUGCCGCGCCUCACCUUCCUGAGCGCGGUCAUCAAGGACACUUUCCGGCUGCACCCAUCGACGCCGCUCUUGCUACUGCGGAUGGCCACUGAGGAGUGUGAGACCGCCGGCUACCGCAUUCCCAAGGGGACAGAGCUUCUAGUGAAUGUGUGGGGGAUCGCCCACGAUCCGGCCCUGUGGCCCGACUCGCUGGAGUUCAGGCCUGCCUGGUUCCUCCCCGGAGGGUCGCAUGCUGACGUCGACGUCAAGGGAGGUGACUUCGGGCUGAUACCAUUUGGGGCGGGCCGGAGGAUAUGCGCGGGCCUCAGCAGGGGCAUUAGGAUGGUUGCCGUGACCACCGCCACGUUGGUGCACUCGUUCAACUGGGAGCUGCCAGCAGGCCAGACGCCGGACAUGGAGGGGACAUUUUCUCUGCUGCUGCAGCUGGCCGUGCCAUUGAUGGUCCACCCGGUGCCUAGGCUGCUCCCAUCGGCAUACCAAAUCGCAUAA
This 657-nucleotide ribosomal RNA is filed under the name Triticum aestivum (bread wheat). RNAcentral's name for it is "partial small subunit ribosomal RNA". Lineage: Eukaryota; Viridiplantae; Streptophyta; Magnoliopsida; Poales; Poaceae. The record is from RNAcentral.